RNAcentral lists this long non-coding RNA (258 nucleotides) under Peromyscus maniculatus bairdii (prairie deer mouse). RNAcentral describes it as "Rhabdomyosarcoma 2 associated transcript conserved region 7 (ENSPEMG00000004226.2)". It matches the Rfam family "Rhabdomyosarcoma 2 associated transcript conserved region 7". The record is from RNAcentral. Lineage: Eukaryota; Metazoa; Chordata; Mammalia; Rodentia; Cricetidae.
UAUAUAGAAGGGGACUUUUGUCAGAGUUCCAAAAGAAUUUAAUAUUUUCAGUCAAAUGUGGCAAAAAGAAGAUUAGUAACAUCUGAUGAAUAAAACGUAUUCUUUCAAAUGGGAAUAGGAACAUAAUGAAUGUCCUGCAGGUGAUUGGGCCCGUAGCAAUUUUACUGAAGAUUCAAGUUUGACUGACCUUUGUUAGGGUGAUUAACCUCCUGAAAUUAGAAGCCCCAUCUGAAUUAGUCUGUCUAAUUUAAAUGCAAA